GAUGAAGAACGUAGUGAAAUGCUAUACGUAGUGUGAAUUGCAGAAUUCAGUGAAUCAUCGAAUCUUUGAACGCACAUUGCACCUCUCGGUAUUCCGGGAGGUAUGCCUGUUCGAGCGUCAUUUGUACCCUCAAGCUCUGCUUGGUGUUGGGUGUUUGUUCCGCCUCUGUGUGUGAACUCGCCUCAAAACAAUUGGCAGCCGGCGUACUUGUUUCGGAGCGCAGCACAUUUUGCGAUCCAGAUCAACGUACAGCGGCAUCCAAGAAGCCUUAUUUAACGCUCUUGACCUCGGAUCAGGUAGGGAUACCCGCUGAACUUAAGCAUAUCAAUAAGCGGAGGA
RNAcentral lists this unclassified non-coding RNA (339 nucleotides) under soil metagenome. Its description in RNAcentral is "partial contains 5.8S ribosomal RNA, internal transcribed spacer 2, and large subunit ribosomal RNA". The stretch from base 1 to 120 matches the Rfam family "5.8S ribosomal RNA", at positions 35 to 154 of the family's 154-position model. The record is from RNAcentral.